This 313-nucleotide ribosomal RNA is filed under the name uncultured soil bacterium. RNAcentral's name for it is "bacterial SSU rRNA". It matches the Rfam family "Bacterial small subunit ribosomal RNA", at positions 26 to 341 of the family's 1533-position model. The record is from RNAcentral.
AGAUUGAACGCUGGCGGCAUGCCUUACACAUGCAAGUCGAACGGCAGCACGGGAGCAAUCCUGGUGGCGAGUGGCGAACGGGUGAGUAAUAUAUCGGAACGUGCCCAGUCGUGGGGGAUAACGCAGCGAAAGCUGUGCUAAUACCGCAUACGAUCUAUGGAUGAAAGCGGGGGAUCGCAAGACCUCGCGCGAUUGGAGCGGCCGAUAUCAGAUUAGCUAGUUGGUGGGGUAAAAGCCUACCAAGGCGACGAUCUGUAGCUGGUCUGAGAGGACGACCAGCCACAUCCGGAAUGAGACACGAUCCAGACUCCUA